AGAACGAACGCUGGCGGCAGGCCUAACACAUGCAAGUCGAGCGCCCAGCAAUGGGAGCGGCAGACGGGUGAGUAACGCGUGGGAACCUUCCCGAUAGUACGGAAUAGCUCAGGGAAACUUGAGGUAAUACCGUAUACGCCCGUAAGGGGAAGAUUCAUCGCUAUCGGAUGGGCCCGCGUAGGAUUAGCUAGCUGGUGAGGUAAUGGCUCACCAAGGCGACGAUCCUUAGCUGGUUUGAGAGAAUGACCAGCCACACUGGGACUGAGACACGGCCCAGACUCCUACGGGAGGCAGCAGUGGGAAUCUUGGACAAUGGGCGCAAGCCUGAUCCAGCCAUGCCGCGUGAGUGACGAAGGUCUUCGGAUUGUAAAGCUCUUUUGCCAGGGACGAUAAUGACGGUACCUGGAGAAUAAGCCCGGCUAACUUCGUGCCAGCAGCCGC
RNAcentral lists this ribosomal RNA (441 nucleotides) under uncultured bacterium. Its description in RNAcentral is "SSU rRNA". It matches the Rfam family "Bacterial small subunit ribosomal RNA", at positions 26 to 518 of the family's 1533-position model. The record is from RNAcentral.